GUGACUGCGUACCUUUUGUAUAAUGGGUCAGCGACUUAUAUUCUGUAGCAAGGUUAACCGUAUAGGGGAGCCGGAGGGAAACCGAGUCUUAACCGGGCGUUAAGUUGCAGGGUAUAGACCCGAAACCCGGUGAUCUAGCCAUGGGCAGGUUGAAGGUUGGGUAACACUAACUGGAGGACCGAACCGACUAAUGUUGAAAAAUU
This 203-nucleotide ribosomal RNA is filed under the name Salmonella enterica subsp. enterica serovar Derby. RNAcentral describes it as "partial 23S ribosomal RNA". It matches the Rfam family "Bacterial large subunit ribosomal RNA", at positions 593 to 798 of the family's 2925-position model. The record is from RNAcentral. Lineage: Bacteria; Pseudomonadati; Pseudomonadota; Gammaproteobacteria; Enterobacterales; Enterobacteriaceae.